UACGGCGGGGGCUAGCGUUGUUCGGAAUUACUGGGCGUAAAGCGUACGUAGGCGGCUUUUUAAGUUAGAGGGGAAAGCCCGGGGCUCAACUCCGGAAUUGCCUUUAAGACUGCAUCGCUUGAAUCAUGGAGAGGUUAGUGGAAUUCCGAGUGUAGAGGUGAAAUUCGUAGAUAUUCGGAAGAACACCAGUGGCGAAGGCGACUCGCUGGACAAGUAUUGACGCUGAGGUGCGAAAGCGUGGGGAGCAAACAGG
This 253-nucleotide ribosomal RNA is filed under the name uncultured bacterium. RNAcentral's name for it is "partial 16S ribosomal RNA". It matches the Rfam family "Bacterial small subunit ribosomal RNA", at positions 524 to 776 of the family's 1533-position model. The record is from RNAcentral.